ACCGUGUUAGCCAGGAUGGUCUCGAUCUCCUGACCUCGUGAUCCGCCCGUCUCGGCCUCCCAAAGUGCUGGGAUUACAGGCUUGAGCCACCGCACCCGGACUUUUUUUUUUUUUAUACCAAAGUGUUGUCAGGCCAACUGAAUGAUGACGUAGUUGCUAAGGAAACAGAAAGGGCUGCCAGCUGUUUUACCAGGGAUCCAGAGACACAGAGGAAGUAGGGGGUGGUAUGAGAUUAUAUUUUCUGUUUUUAAAAGAAUUUUUUGCUUUUUGUAUUUGGAGUAUAAAGAAAAACAGAUGCCUGUAGAUGUCUGGAGCAUAUUUUCAUUUGCGAGCUAAUGUUUUAAUUUGUGAAGAAUACAAGUUAUUUUUAAUGUUAAAAAUUAGUGAAUCUAACAAAAGGAAUAAAUUAGCAGCAUUUGAUAUGGUUAUGAAAAGUGGUUUUUGUUCCUUACAUAGUAAUUUCUUAAGGAUUCAGGGCAUGGGAAAUCAAACAUUGACUAUGUGCCAAUAAUGGAGGUUUUCUUCAGGAAUUUCUCAUAACUAUUUAUUGUAUCCAUAAGGAGUGCAAGGUCUCUUGGAUCAGAUACCAGGUUGUCACCAGGCUGGAGUGCAGUGGUACAGUCACGGCUCACUGCAACCU
Piliocolobus tephrosceles (Ugandan red Colobus) is the source of this 640-nucleotide long non-coding RNA. RefSeq lists it as uncharacterized. The transcript is spliced from 3 exons. The record is from RefSeq and is a predicted model, not a curated record. NCBI's taxonomy places the organism in Eukaryota, Metazoa, Chordata, Mammalia, Primates, Cercopithecidae.